RNAcentral lists this unclassified non-coding RNA (2133 nucleotides) under Ixodes scapularis (black-legged tick). Its description in RNAcentral is "cLK4-associating serine/arginine rich protein, transcript variant X1". Lineage: Eukaryota; Metazoa; Arthropoda; Arachnida; Ixodida; Ixodidae. The record is from RNAcentral.
UCAAUAAACAAAUCGUACAAUCAAGCCGCAUAGGCUGGAUGGUUCGCGUUGCUUCUUCGCCGCCGUUGACACUACCGGAGCAAAGCUCUUCGCCAUGAAUAUCGGACGUGCCAAUAUGUGGCACGAGGCGAGGAAGCAGGAGCGGAAGAUUCGCGGCAUGCUGGUGGAUUUGAAAAAGAGGGCCGAGCGAAGGAAGGAGUUCUACGAACGAAUCAAACAAGACCCGGCCCAGUUCCUGCAGCUGCACGGUCGACGAUGCAAGAUCCACAUCGACCUGGCGAUUGCCCAGGCAGCCGACAGCCCGGCCACCAUGAUGCCAUGGCAGGGCCACCCAGACAUCAUGAUCGACCGGUUCGACGUGCGGGCUCACUUGGACACAAUUCCAGAGUACAAGUCUCCGGUCAAACCUCUUCCGCUCUCAAACGACCAGCGGGAGGAGGAAAGACAGAUCAACUACGAGAGGUACCGGACGCUCGUGCAGAACGACUUCCUCGGAGUGUCCGAGGACAAGUUCUUGCACCAAAUCUUCCUGGAGGAGCGGUAUGGCCCCGUCGGGAGGCCCGUGGGAACCACGGAAGAGGAGAAGAAGAAGCUGGCCGAGAAGAAGGCUGCGAUUGGCUACGUCUAUGAAGACAGCACGCCGGUGACGUCCACGUCCGCCGCCGGGCAGAAUGAGGAUGAGGAGGAAGAGGACAAAGAGGACCUCAGCGACAUCGACCUGGACAUCACCAUCGACGUGAACGAGCUGAACGACGACCAGGCGAGAGAGAUGAAUGCGAACUCAGUCCUGUAUGGCAUGGAGGAUACGGACUUCAUCUCGUUUCUGCAUCUGGACAAAGAAGAGCAGGAGCGGCUGAAGCAAGCCAGAGAGCUCGAAGAGGAAAAAGCCAUGUACUCGGGGAGGAAGUCUCGGAGAGAGAGGAGAGCUCUGAGAGAGAAGAAACUGAAGAACCGCGUAGUCACCAGCCCACCCAGUUAUGCAGCGAGGGAGAGUCCAACUUACAAGCCUUUCAGGGCCCAGUCCAGCUCUCGUUCGAGGUCGCGGUCUCCACAAAACGCGGGCGAGAUCACCUUCAUCACCAGUUUCGGCGGCGAAGCCUCCGAGGACGAAGACGCCACGGGGACCAAGAAGGCGGCGGUGAAACCGGCCGCCACUGCAGCUAGCACCACAAAAGCCUCGUCCAACAACGCGCCCAAGGCGGCUUCCACUUCGAAGGGGGCCGGCAGGCAGGACAACAGCAGCUCGUCCAAAUCAAAACCCAGGGAGAGGUCACGGUCUCGAGGCCGCUACAACAGCUCGACCCGGUCCUCAAACCAUGGCAGAGGGGCUCGGCCUUCGCGCUGGGGUUCGUCCAGCUCCAGGUCAAGGUCGCGCUCAAGGUCGUCGUCGAGGGGGAGGAGGGACAAAAGGAGGAGAAGGAGCCGCAGCUGGGAAAGGUCGUACAGGACGCAGCGCCGAGGCACUCGGCCCUCUCCGAGGUCGAGGUCGAGGUCGCGACAGCGGAACAGCAGGUGGAGGUCACCAAGCCGCUCAAGGUCGAGAUCGAGGUCGAGGCGCCGGGGCUCCCGCCGGCGGUCGUCCUCUUCCCCGCCCAAGGGCCGGCGUUCGCCGUCUCCUCCGAAGAGGCUGCCGAGCCCUCCCCGCAAGUCCUACUACCGGCACAGUCUGUCGAGGUCGCGCUCGAAGUCGCCCAGCAGCGAGGCGGAGCGCAAGUCGGGGACCAGCGAGGACGACAACAGCGAGAGCUCCCGGGGUCAGGCGGGGGCAGGUGGCGCCAACGGGGUGCGUCGCACCUGGCCCGCAGCCGAUGCGCUGAAAACCAACGUCUCUGUGGGUAAACCCGGUCCUGCCUCCAAAGUCAGGCGGCGCUCCGUCGGGUCUGACACCGCGGGAGAAGCUGAAGCGCAAGAUGCAGGCUGCCCUCAACAAGCAAUACAAAGCCGACAAAAGGGCUGAACGUGAAAAGCAGGACAAGAUUCUGCAAGAACGCUGGGACCGAGCCGAAGAGCUUCGGGGCAUGGCGAUGCGCAUGCGGCAGAGGGACCGGAGAGGCCGAGAUAAAGACGACUACGACUACGACCCCGAAGACGGCCGGGAAGGCUACUCGAGCCGCUCAGCAAGCCGAUCCCCCA